CGGACAGUGUCUGGUGGGUAGUUUGACUGGGGCGGUCUCCUCCUAAAGCGUAACGGAGGAGCACGAAGGUUAGCUAAUCCUGGUCGGACAUCAGGAGGUUAGUGCAAUGGCAUAAGCUAGCUUGACUGCGAGCGUGACGGCGCGAGCAGGUGCGAAAGCAGGUCAUAGUGAUCCGGUGGUUCUGAAUGGAAGGGCCAUCGCUCAACGGAUAAAAGGUACUCCGGGGAUAACAGGCUGAUACCGCCCAAGAGUUCAUAUCGACGGCGGUGUUUGGCACCUCGAUGUCGGCUCAUCACAUCCUGGGGCUGAAGUAGGUCCCAAGGGUAUGGCUGUUCGCCAUUUAAAGUGGUACGCGAGCUGGGUUUAGAACGUCGUGAGACAGUUCGGUCCCUAUCUGCCGUGGGCGCUGGAGAAUUGAGGGGGGCUGCUCCUAGUACGAGAGGACCGGAGUGGACGCAUCACUGGUGUUCGGGUUGUCAUGCCAAUGGCACUGCCCGGUAGCUAAAUGCGGAAGAGAUAAGUGCUGAAAGCAUCUAAGCACGAAACUUGCCCCGAGAUGAGUUCUCCCUGAGACUUUAAGUCUCCUGAAGGAACGUUGAAGACGACGACGUUGAUAGGCCGGGUGUGUAAGCGCAGCGAUGCGUUGAGCUAACCGGUACUAAUGAACCGUGAGGCUUAACCUU
This 683-nucleotide ribosomal RNA is filed under the name Klebsiella pneumoniae MGH 52. Its description in RNAcentral is "bacterial LSU rRNA". It matches the Rfam family "Bacterial large subunit ribosomal RNA", at positions 2248 to 2925 of the family's 2925-position model. Lineage: Bacteria; Pseudomonadati; Pseudomonadota; Gammaproteobacteria; Enterobacterales; Enterobacteriaceae. The record is from RNAcentral.